Molecule: long non-coding RNA, 4366 nt
Organism: Astatotilapia calliptera (eastern happy)
Lineage: Eukaryota; Metazoa; Chordata; Actinopteri; Cichliformes; Cichlidae
Source: Ensembl
CUCUAAUACUAAACCAAGCUACUGCGUUUAAGCAAGGGUCAAUGUAAUUCUACUUCCUGAGCGCUUGUUCGUUUUUGUGGUUUUUAAAAAAAUCUGAUGUCAUAUCAAGUGACCAUCUGAAAAAGGAAGUGUAGAGCACUUCCCUCUUAGAAUCACAUCAGAGCUGAGCUGCUUUCAGACGACUCCGUCUUGUUGUGGAUGCUGAAGCUGAUCAUGGUUCUCCUGUGGAUGAUCCUGUUGGUGCUUCUGCUCUGUGCAGAGGCCGAGAACGUGACCGAGGUCAGAGGAGAGCUGGGGACCAAUGUCACUCUAACCUGCUCCAAUCAGACAUCAGACACACACUGGUACAUGGAGAUCCACAGUCAGUUCAGAGCAGGUAUCGGCCGCAGUUUUUCCUCAGCAGGCUCUACCUACUACUCUCCUGAUUUUGAAACUAAAUUUUCAAUCCUGGGAAACAAACUUGUGAUUAAAAACUUGACAGCAGAGGACUGCAGGCUUUACUUCUGUGGCAUCAAGAGAAAUGGUAGCACUCAGUUUGUGGAGAGUUUUAGCCUCGUCUCAGAUAUCUGUCCAACCCCUGACCCUGAGUGUGGAGUGUUGCAGAGGCAGACUUUCCUCGUCAGCUCAGUGAUCCUGAACUUUGUGCUCUUUUUAGUACUCUGUCUGAGUUGUGUAUGGCUGUGUCUGAAGAGGAGAAUCAGCAAGUAUCAGGCAAACCUCCCUCCAGCUGGGACCAGUGAGAGGCUGGAGGCUCCACAGGUAACUCAAAGUGUACAGGUGACCCUGCAGCUCAUGCUCAUUGUUCUCCUUCAGUGCUACUUUGUCCUGUACUCAGUGCUGCUGUUGUGUUUCAGUACGAGGAGAUCCAGCUCCCCACUCCCUCUGCUGCUCCGCUUCAAGAGUGUGUUUAUUACAAAAUUCAGCUUCCUCGCUCCACACUACCUCAAAGCUGAUGGACACACCUGUACAGGUGGAUGAUACCUGCUGGACAGAGGUCAGUCUGAUAACUGAAGACUUGCUGCUCCGCCGCUCGUAGGAGGAUUUAUUUUUUCCUCUCUGGUUUGAGUUGUUGGACCAAAAGUUCUGAAUCAAAAUUUUCCACAAACUUGAUGAAAGUGCUGCAAGAUUAAUUUUAGUCAGAGACAAUCUGCUCUGCUUCUGAGCUGAGAUGGACCCAAGAAUGUGACAACCUUUAGCCAAACCUGCUUUAAGGUGCUUCAGGAUUUAACACCAUAACUCAAUGCUGCUGUGAAAACCUGUAAAUAUGAAACUCCAACAUUUAAUAUUUAUUUGUUCUCUUAUAGUUUGUAUCUGUUUAUCAGUUUUUGUUGUUUUGUUUCAGCUGUUUUGUUGUUUAUGCUAUUUUGAAAGCACAGAUUUUAAACACAGUCUCAUUCCCUAAAAGGUCAGCAUGAUGAUGAAGUAUGACAACAGAAAGCUGCAUUUUACAAUUAAAUGUCAAACAGAAGUGAAACCAGGACAAAGACAAAAUAUCACAUGUUGACUGUGAGAAAUGUGAUUUUUGAAAGACAUAUUUUUUUUAAUUUGUUGCAGCAUCAAAUUUAAAAAUAAUGUUGUGAGAAGCUGUCAAAAUUACUGAGCCGUCCAUUUUCCUCUGCUUAUCCAUUUUAAGUAUGCAGGAGUCUAUACCAGCUGUCAUAGGGCUAAAGGAGGGGUACACACUGGACAGAUCACCAGUCUGUCACAAUAACAUGUAACAAAAUUAAAUGUGUUUUUUUAAAGCAUCCCUGGUAAACACUGAAGUUCUCCAGAAAGACUUUGUUCACAAAUAACUAAUCCAUCCACAUUAAUAAUCUCAGUUUGAACAUUUGGGCUGUUGAUUUAAAAUCUAAGAUUAUAUGGUCUUUGCAAAUUAUUGCAUAACAGGUUUGUUUUAGUAUAAGAAUAUGUAAAAGAACUUUCUACAUACCUGUGGCAUUAUUCUUUUGUUCUGUGAAAAUACACUGCGAUCAUUUUCAGUUUGAUUACAGCAUUUAUUUUUGGUUUAGGCAUUCGUGUAGUUAUUUAACACAAAUAGAACUUGAGUUCACACCAGUGAUUUGUUUGUUUGAAAGAGAAAAUGUGGUUUGAAGUAUUUCUUUGUAAUGUUUAAUAUGAACCUAUUAAACAUUUGAGAACAACAAGGGACAGAAACAAAUCUGGAUGAUAUUAUUUAAAAAAAGAGUUUCACAAUGUUCCUCUUUCCUCAAGGCCAUGUGAGUGUUUGUUGGUCAGAUUUCGCAGGAAACUAUUCAGCGCUUUCCUCACACGUUCUGAAAACAACAGCAAGUGACAACCUGUAAAAACAAUUUCAGUUGUUGCUUCUCAGUAAAAGGCCAGCUUCCUGUUUCCAUGUAUUCUGACCAUGUUGGGCCCCAUCCUGCUCCAACCAGUACAAACAGGUCACGUGUCAUGUCUGGUAGGCAGGAUUUGGACCCAAAUGUAGGACCCAGGAGACAGGAAAUACAUUUAAAAGGCAGCUUUAAUGCUAAAUUCCAAUGAAAAUGUUCCCCAGGAAUGAGGAAUUCAAAAACUAUACAGAAAUGAGACACACACAAAUGUAAUGAGGAAAAACACAACAAAAACUGAAUAAAGCUGAAGGAAUAAAUAAACAAGAUGAUGAGGGCAAACAGGAGAUACCUGGGAGGGUAGUUUUACUAACUGAGAAAAUAAGAGAAGGGGUGUGAAACUAAAUACAAAGACAAGAGACAAAACACCAAACAAAAUAAAGCAGGAAGUAACUGAACUUGUAAACAGAAACACAGGCAGGCAGGAAGCCGACAAAAUCAGGAAAAACAUGAUUGCAAAUUACAGAGCCAGGAAUGAGAAUAAGAGAAAUAACUCUGAAGUACAAAUGAGCUAAAAUACCAAACUCAAAAUGGCAAAACAAAGAAGAAACUACACAGAAACAUAAAAUGGGGGGGAAAUAAAAGAAACUGAAGGUACUGAACAAUAACUGAACCUGAAUGACCAAAAAUCCCAAAAAGGUUAGCAAAACGAGCAGGGAUGAGAGAAGAUGGGGCAAAAACAGGUCCAGAUGGCAGAUCAAGAAUGCUGAUAUUUGUUAAUCUGAAUUUGGAAAUCAUUGGAUUUGUGUGACUUACACCAGUGAUAAAAAGUCUUUAUCAUGUCCUAAAAUGAAUCCAUUACAACCUGAGAUGAACAAGAACACACAAACAAAGCCCAAAUUCAGAAACAGCGUGUAGAAAAACUGAGUUUAAUGAUCUCUCACAUUCAAUUCUGGGUCACUCUUCUUUACUAAGUUCCUUUGAUUGGGACUUGGAGGCAUUCGUUUAUACGCGGCUCUCUGAAGGGCCCACCACAGUAUUUCAAUCAGGUUGAGGUCUGACCUUUGAUUGGCCCAUUGCUGAACUUGAUUCUUUUCUUUUUUAGCUGUUCUGUUGGAGAUUUGCUGCACGCCUGAGCUGCGGCUGAGCUUUAGCUGUCAGAUAGAUAGCAUCAAUAUUUGGCUCUAGAAUACUUGCAUGGGCAUGCAGAGGAGUUCAUGGUCAACUCAAUGACUGUAAGGUCCCCAGGUCUCAUGACUGCAAAGCAAUCCCAAAUCAUCACCCUUCCAUCGUGCUAACAGUUGACAUGAGGUUCUUGUGCUGACAUGUGUGUUUGGUUUUCCCCAGGUGUAAUGCUGUGCACUAUCACUGAACAUAGACGCUUUUGUCUUAUAUGUCCAAAGGGCAUUAAUUUAGAUGUUUUGUAGCUUGUUUUAAUGCAUCUUCACUUUAACCCUUGUUGGCAUGUUCUUUUUAGGGUGGCUUCUUCAUUACUUUCAUAAAUAAGGCCUCAUAUCUAGUGGAGUGUUUAAAGUUACCUGUGCCACAUCAGUUUGUGGGGUUGAAUUUUUGCAGCUUUCAGAGCUCUAGUUCCUGUUUCUGCAGCAAGCUUCAGCCACAAGUUUAUCAUCACUGUAUAUGUACUUUAAACCACGCAGAAUAACGACAAUGAUCAUGCAUUUGUAUCAGUUGGUUUAGAAAGAAAACAAAAAGCAAACGCAAAACACACAUUUAUUUAUCUACAUUACCAAAACAUACCAGAUAUUUUCUCCUAGCAUAAUCCUACAGGAUCACAUUCACAUGUUGUUCAUAGAGUUUACUUUGAGCCUUAUUCACGUUUGUCUUUGAAGAAUAAAGCGCAUUAAGCACAGCCUGCAUUUGUGCUGAGUCUUUUUUUUUUUGUUAUGAUGGUAGUUCAGAAAUUUCCCCUUAAGAACUUAUUGAGUUCAGAAUAGAAACCUUUUGAACAAUUAGCCAAUCUCAAAAUGUUUAGGAACUGAGAGGCAAGUCAGUCAAAAGAGGAACAUCAGUAGAUACACAAAGGGACCCGCAAGUAACAUAAAGAACAUAAAGACGAA